RNAcentral lists this ribosomal RNA (133 nucleotides) under uncultured bacterium. RNAcentral describes it as "partial 16S ribosomal RNA". It matches the Rfam family "Bacterial small subunit ribosomal RNA", at positions 375 to 524 of the family's 1533-position model. The record is from RNAcentral.
GCGCAGCCUGAUGCAGCCAUGCCGCGUGAGUGAUGAAGGCCUUAGGAGUUGUAAAAGCUCUUUCACCGGGGAAGAUAAUGACGGUACCCGGAGAAGAAGCCCCGGCUAACUUCGUGCCAGCAGCCGCGGUAAU